This 596-nucleotide ribosomal RNA is filed under the name Staphylococcus pseudintermedius. Its description in RNAcentral is "partial 23S ribosomal RNA". It matches the Rfam family "Bacterial large subunit ribosomal RNA", at positions 2223 to 2821 of the family's 2925-position model. The record is from RNAcentral. Lineage: Bacteria; Bacillati; Bacillota; Bacilli; Caryophanales; Staphylococcaceae.
CCCGCAGCACUUAUCGUGCUGGGAGACAGUGUCAGGCGGGCAGUUUGACUGGGGCGGUCGCCUCCUAAAGAGUAACGGAGGCGCUCAAAGGUUCCCUCAGAAUGGUUGGAAAUCAUUCAUAGAGUGUAAAGGCAUAAGGGAGCUUGACUGCGAGACCUACAAGUCGAGCAGGGUCGAAAGACGGACUUAGUGAUCCGGUGGUUCCGCAUGGAAGGGCCAUCGCUCAACGGAUAAAAGCUACCCCGGGGAUAACAGGCUUAUCUCCCCCAAGAGUUCACAUCGACGGGGAGGUUUGGCACCUCGAUGUCGGCUCAUCGCAUCCUGGGGCUGUAGUCGGUCCCAAGGGUUGGGCUGUUCGCCCAUUAAAGCGGUACGCGAGCUGGGUUCAGAACGUCGUGAGACAGUUCGGUCCCUAUCCGUCGUGGGCGUAGGAAAUUUGAGAGGAGCUGUCCUUAGUACGAGAGGACCGGGAUGGACAUACCUCUGGUGUACCAGUUGUCGUGCCAACGGCAUAGCUGGGUAGCUAUGUAUGGACGGGAUAAGUGCUGAAAGCAUCUAAGCAUGAAGCCCCCCUCGAGAUGAGAUUUCCCAACUUC